Molecule: non-coding RNA, 246 nt
Organism: Peromyscus maniculatus bairdii (prairie deer mouse)
Lineage: Eukaryota; Metazoa; Chordata; Mammalia; Rodentia; Cricetidae
Source: RefSeq, a predicted model, not a curated record
GAGGAGGGUGGCCAAGAGUCAUGGGAUGUGGGGUACAUUAGAUACCAGAGAAGAUUUGCCUGGACGUUUUAUAGUUGUGAACUAUCACAAUGUGUGGUCUUUUGUGUCUGGAUUUAGUGCAUUUUCAAGGGUGAUCCAUGUUGUAGAAGGAGUGUUUUAAAGAGAGGACUUCUUUGGGAUCCCUGGAAUGGAAGAGCACAGUUUUAUGAGGUCUAUUGAUGGUGGUUUCCCACAACAAAAUAAAUG